Molecule: ribosomal RNA, 520 nt
Filed under: uncultured Glomeromycotina
Lineage: Eukaryota; Fungi; Glomeromycota
Description: SSU rRNA
Rfam family: Eukaryotic small subunit ribosomal RNA
Source: RNAcentral
CGCAGCCGCGGUAAUUCCAGCUCCAAUAGCGUAUAUUAAAGUUGUUGCAGUUAAAAAGCUCGUAGUUGAAUUUCGGGGUUCUUCCGUUGGUCGGGCUAUCCAGUCUGUACUAGCGUGUAGAAUUCCUACCUUCUGGGGAACCAUCAUGUUAUUAAUUUAGCGUGGUGGGAAACCAGGACCUUUACCUUGAAAAAAUUAGAGUGUUCAAAGCAGGCUUACGUCUGAAUACAUUAGCAUGGAAUAAUAGAAUAGGACGGUGGUCCUGUUUUGUUGGUUUCUGAAUCACCGUAAUGAUUAAUAGGGAUAGUUGGGGGCAUUAGUAUUCAAUUGUCAGAGGUGAAAUUCUUGGAUUUAUUGAAGACUAACUUCUGCGAAGGCAUUUGCCAAGGAUGUUUUCAUUAAUCAAGAACGAAAGUUAGGGGAUCGAAGACGAUCAGAUACCGUCGUAGUCUUAACCAUAAACUAUGCCGACUAGGGAUCGGACGAUGUUAAAUUUAUUGACUCGUUCGGCGCCUUACGG